RNAcentral lists this ribosomal RNA (253 nucleotides) under uncultured bacterium. Its description in RNAcentral is "partial 16S ribosomal RNA". It matches the Rfam family "Bacterial small subunit ribosomal RNA", at positions 524 to 776 of the family's 1533-position model. The record is from RNAcentral.
UACGAAGGGGGCUAGCGUUGUUCGGAUUUACUGGGCGUAAAGCGCACGUAGGCGGGUCGUUAAGUCGGGGGUGAAAUCCUGGAGCUCAACUCCAGAACUGCCUUCGAUACUGGCGACCUAGAGUCCGGAAGAGGUGAGUGGAACUCCUAGUGUAGAGGUGGAAUUCGUAGAUAUUAGGAAGAACACCAGUGGCGAAGGCGGCUAACUGGUCCAGAUCUGACGCUGAGGUGCGAAAGCGUGGGGAGCAAACAGG